AUUUUCUCAAUUUUUAACCAGUUCUCCCGCCCUUUAAAUAGAUGCCUUAAAGGGAGGGAGAACUGGUUAAAAAUGGACUUUGA
This 83-nucleotide microRNA precursor is filed under the name Capitella teleta. RNAcentral's name for it is "microRNA mir-184". Lineage: Eukaryota; Metazoa; Annelida; Polychaeta; Capitellidae. The record is from RNAcentral.